Molecule: long non-coding RNA, 1076 nt
Filed under: Mytilus galloprovincialis (Mediterranean mussel)
Lineage: Eukaryota; Metazoa; Mollusca; Bivalvia; Mytilida; Mytilidae
Source: RNAcentral
GGAAAGUUAACAUGGUAAAGAUAUCUUAGAUGGACUACCUAAAAAGAAAGAGCUAUUAAUAGAAGCAGAAUAAUACAUGUUUGGUAUUGAAUACCAAUAAAUAUGGUUACUGCAUUGAAUAUUUAUAAGUAAUAGAUUUUAGCAAAGUUAUAUUCUCCGUAGCUGAGAUGAAUUGAACAUUUCACGCGGUGUAUGAAGGGAGGUCAACAUUUUUAAUAGUCGAUAACGAAAGGAAAAUUGAUACUGACCGAGGAUAGUUUGAUAGUUGAUACUGAACGAGGAUAGUUGGAUAGUUGAUACUGACCGAGGAUAAUUGGAUAUAGGUGGCAGAAAAGUGAUACUGACCAAGGAUAGUUGGAUAUAGGUGGCAGAAAAGUGAUAUUGAUCGAGGAUAGUUGGAUAUAGAUGGCAGAAAAGUGACCAAGACGAUUUGACGUAAAAAUAACAAACACGCAAAAUCAGCAAUAGAGGCGAAAUAAAACUGAAUAUCAAAAGGAACCAACAGAAUGACAAAAAGGCGCUUAUUAACAAACAAAUAAUAGACAUAUUCGAAUGCAGCAGAUUAUUUCAAAAUCUGAUUCUCCAAUAAGCAUUCAGUGUCUAGGUACAGACAAACAAAACACACUGUGGAUCCAGGAACAAACUGUUGUGACAAAAUUUUUUUGUGAAAUGACACGAUUCCGGAUGCGAGCAAUGGUCUAGCACAAAACAUGAUAUAAUUAUUUGCUCUUCGUAUCUUCUUCCUCCUUUUUAAAAUUUGACACUUGACAUUAAACAGAAAUUGAUCCCAUCCUUGUCAAUGUUUGCUUAGCAUCACUUAUCUCGUAUAUCGAGCAGUUAUUCCAGACUAUGCUGUCUUGGCAACCGAUUCUCAUGAUUUUUAUAGAAAGUUUAUACUAAAAACUAAAUAAUAGCAUUUCCGUGACGACACCUGCUUUCGGAAAACAUUCAUCGGUUGCAUUUUUUAUUUCUUAACGAGUAGGUUGACAUGAAAUAUGUGUCAGAUCUAAGUUGUGUUAAAAUGGUUGUUUUCGCCUUAUCUUUUACUGAAUGAGUCCUAUCAUCAUAUAUCAACA